This 468-nucleotide ribosomal RNA is filed under the name uncultured bacterium. Its description in RNAcentral is "partial 16S ribosomal RNA". It matches the Rfam family "Bacterial small subunit ribosomal RNA", at positions 28 to 507 of the family's 1533-position model. The record is from RNAcentral.
GACGAACGCUGGCGGCGUGCUUAACACAUGCAAGUCGAACGGUAAGGGCCUGCUUUUGUGGGGUGCUCGAGUGGCGAACGGGUGAGUAACACGUGAGUAACCUGCCCUUGACUUUGGGAUAACUUCAGUAAACUGGGACUAAUACCGGAUAGGAGCUCCUUCUGCACGGUGGGGGUGGGAAAGAUGCGGCGGUUGGUGACGUACACGCGGUCUAGCAUCUUGUUGGUGGGGUAGUGGCUUACCAAUGCUCUGACGGGUAGCCGGACUGGGACGGUGACCGGCCCCAUUCGGCUUCGGGUAGCAGCAAGACUGCUACGGGAGGCAGCGGUGGAAAAUAGUGCACGAUGGGCGGCAGCCUGAUGCAGCAACGCCGCGUGGGGGAUGACGGCCGUCGGAUUGUAACCCGCGUUCGCCUGUGACGAAGAGUGAGUGACGGUAAUGGGUAAAGAAGCACCGGCUAACUACGUG